RNAcentral lists this ribosomal RNA (507 nucleotides) under uncultured bacterium. Its description in RNAcentral is "bacterial SSU rRNA". It matches the Rfam family "Bacterial small subunit ribosomal RNA", at positions 17 to 518 of the family's 1533-position model. The record is from RNAcentral.
UCAUGGCUCAGGAUGAACGCUAGCGACAGGCUUAACACAUGCAAGUCGAGGGGCAGCACGGGAGUAGCAAUACAACUGGUGGCGACCGGCGCACGGGUGAGUAACGCGUAUGCAACCUACCAUCAGAGGGGAAUAACCGGCGAAAGUCGGACUAAUACCGCAUAAAACAGGGGCACCGCAUGGUGAUAUUUGUUAAAGAAAUUCGCUGAUAGAUGGGCAUGCGUUCCAUUAGGUAGUUGGUGAGGUAACGGCUCACCAAGCCGACGAUGGAUAGGGAACUGAGAGGUUGGUCCCCCACACUGGUACUGAGACACGGACCAGACUCCUACGGGAGGCAGCAGUGAGGAAUAUUGGUCAAUGGGCGGGAGCCUGAACCAGCCAAGUCGCGUGAAGGAAGAAGGAUCUAUGGUUCGUAAACUUCUUUUGCAGGGGAAUAAAGUGCAGGACGUGUCCUGUUUUGUAUGUACCCUGAGAAUAAGGAUCAGCUAACUCCGUGCCAGCCGCCGC